Molecule: transfer RNA, 24 nt
Filed under: Rhinophis drummondhayi
Lineage: Eukaryota; Metazoa; Chordata; Lepidosauria; Squamata; Uropeltidae
Description: partial tRNA-Leu
Source: RNAcentral
UCUACUAAAGGAAAAUAGCCUUCC